RNAcentral lists this RNase P RNA (377 nucleotides) under Chromatiales bacterium. RNAcentral describes it as "RNase P RNA component class A". It matches the Rfam family "Bacterial RNase P class A". Rfam says of the family: Ribonuclease P (RNase P) is a ubiquitous endoribonuclease, found in archaea, bacteria and eukarya as well as chloroplasts and mitochondria. Its best characterised activity is the generation of mature 5'-ends of tRNAs by cleaving the 5'-leader elements of precursor-tRNAs. Cellular RNase Ps are ribonucleoproteins. The record is from RNAcentral. Lineage: Bacteria; Pseudomonadati; Pseudomonadota; Gammaproteobacteria; Chromatiales.
GGAGUCAGCCAGGCAAUCGCCGGCUGCGGCUCAGGCUGCGGCCGGAGGAAAGUCCGGGCUCCGGCUGAACAGGGCGCCAGGUAACGCCUGGGGGGCGCGAGCCCACGGAAAGUGCCACAGAAAACAGACCGCCGGCACCGGAAACGGUGCAGGCAAGGGUGAAAAGGUGCGGUAAGAGCGCACCGCGCGGGUGGUAACACGCCGCGGCACGGUAAACCCCGCCCGGAGCAAGACCAAAUAGGGGAGCAUGCACUGGCUGUUGCCGGUGCACCGGUGUUCACCCGGGCUCCCGGGUAGGUCGCUAGAGGCUGCCGGUGACGGCAGUCCCAGAUGAAUGAUUGCCCUCGACAGAACCCGGCUUACGGCUGACUCCUCAU